GUACACUCCUACGGGAGGCAGCAGUGGGGAAUUUUGGACAAUGGGCGAAAGCCUGAUCCAGCAAUGCCGCGUGAGUGAAGAAGGCCUUCGGGUUGUAAAGCUCUUUUGUCAGGGAAGAAACGGUGAGAGCUAAUAUCUUUUGCUAAUGACGGUACCUGAAGAAUAAGCACCGGCUAACUACGUGCCAGCAGCCGCGGUAAUACGUAGGGUGCAAGCGUUAAUCGGAAUUACUGGGCGUAAAGCGUGCGCAGGCGGUUUUGUAAGUCUGAUGUGAAAUCCCCGGGCUCAACCUGGGAAUUGCAUUGGAGACUGCAAGGCUAGAAUCUGGCAGAGGGGGGUAGAAUUCCACGUGUAGCAGUGAAAUGCGUAGAUAUGUGGAGGAACACCGAUGGCGAAGGCAGCCCCCUGGGUCAAGAUUGACGCUCAUGCACGAAAGCGUGGGGAGCAAACAGGAUUAGAAACCCUGGUAGUCCCA
This 475-nucleotide ribosomal RNA is filed under the name uncultured organism. RNAcentral describes it as "partial 16S ribosomal RNA". It matches the Rfam family "Bacterial small subunit ribosomal RNA", at positions 331 to 797 of the family's 1533-position model. The record is from RNAcentral.